AUUGGUCCCGUGGUGUGGCAGGGGACGAAUUUCAGGCAUAAAAAAAGCACCCCGAAGGGUGCUUUUUUUGUUUC
Molecule: small RNA, 74 nt
Filed under: Pseudomonas sp. AD21
Lineage: Bacteria; Pseudomonadati; Pseudomonadota; Gammaproteobacteria; Pseudomonadales; Pseudomonadaceae
Description: STnc370
Source: RNAcentral